Ailuropoda melanoleuca (giant panda) is the source of this 348-nucleotide long non-coding RNA. RefSeq lists it as uncharacterized. NCBI's taxonomy places the organism in Eukaryota, Metazoa, Chordata, Mammalia, Carnivora, Ursidae. The record is from RefSeq and is a predicted model, not a curated record. The transcript is spliced from 2 exons.
GCGGCUCGGGUUACUUCGCUGGCUGCUCCUAAGCUCCCGGCUCGCCGCCAUCUUGUAUUGGGGCUUCAUUGUUCGCGCUGCGCCCGGCCGUUUAGUAUAAUUGCCGCGGAAGGAGGAGGCGGAGUAACCGCCGGUCAGCCGAGAAACCCCGCUAUUCCGCAGUCAUAGCCGCUCAUAAGAUUUGGGAGGUAGUAAAGGGUAGGGAGCUGGACCCCGAGGCGCCGGCGCGACAGCAGCAGCCAUGGAGGACGAGAUGCCCAAGACUCUAUAUGUCGGCAACCUUUCCAGAGAUGUGACAGAAGCUCUAAUUCUCCAGCUCUUUAGCCAGAUUGGACCUUGUAAAAACUG